CCUACGGGAUGCAGCAGUGGGGAAUAUUGGACAAUGGGCGAAAGCCUGAUCCAGCCAUGCCGCGUGUGUGAAGAAGGCCUUCGGGUUGUAAAGCACUUUCAGUGGGGAAGAAAGCCUUGGGGCUAAUACCCUCGAGGAAGGACAUCACCCACAGAAGAAGCACCGGCUAACUCCGUGCCAGCAGCCGCGGUAAUACGGAGGGUGCGAGCGUUAAUCGGAAUUACUGGGCGUAAAGCGCGCGUAGGCGGUCUGAUAAGCCGGUUGUGAAAGCCCCGGGCUCAACCUGGGAACGGCAUCCGGAACUGUCAGGCUAGAGUGCAGGAGAGGAAGGUAGAAUUCCCGGUGUAGCGGUGAAAUGCGUAGAGAUCGGGAGGAAUACCAGUGGAGAAGGCGGCCUUCUGGACUGACACUGACGCUGAGGUGCGAAAGCGUGGGUAGCAAACAGGAUUAGAUACCCCGGUAGUC
RNAcentral lists this ribosomal RNA (465 nucleotides) under Vreelandella stevensii. Its description in RNAcentral is "partial 16S ribosomal RNA". It matches the Rfam family "Bacterial small subunit ribosomal RNA", at positions 338 to 795 of the family's 1533-position model. The record is from RNAcentral. Lineage: Bacteria; Pseudomonadati; Pseudomonadota; Gammaproteobacteria; Oceanospirillales; Halomonadaceae.